GGAGCCAUGGGUGCCUCCAUGUGUACUCCUUGGUUAGUUGUUUGUUUAGUCCCUGGGAGCUCUGGGGCCUGGGGGGGGGCUGGUUGGUUGAUACUAUUGUUCUUCCUGUGGGGUUGCAAAACCUUUCAGCUCCUUCAGUCCUUUCUCUAACUCCUCCAUUGGGGACCCUGUGUUCAGUCCAAUGGUUGGCUGCAAGCAUCUACCUCUCUAUUUGCCAGGCACUGGCAUAGCCUCUUAGGAGUCAGCUAUAGCAGGCUCCUGUCAGCAUGAACAUCUUGGCAUCUAUAAUAGUGUCUGGGUUUGGUAACUGUAUAUGGGAUGGAUUCCCAGGUGGGGCAGUCUCUGGAUGGCCUUUCCUUCAAUCUCUGCUCCACACUUUGUCUCCAUAUUUGCUCCUUUUCUGAAAAGCAAUACCAGAAGUAAAAUGAAGUGCCAUGUUGGGGAGGGACCUGCUCCACACCAAGAGGUGUUUGAUGAUACUGACCAAGGAGGAAAGCCGUACUGAAAACCUUAUACGGAGCUGUAGUGGUAAGGUCAGAGCCCUAGAAUGUCAGACCUGCUCUCAGCUUGCUGAAACUCUGGCUCCUCUGACGUCAUCAUCGUGCAGCCUCUCUGCUUUCACCAGUUUUAUGAGAGCAAUGGAGUGGUUGCCAUUUAUGCCUUCUGUACAGAUUGAUCAGCACUGACAGACAGCAGAUCUAUUGAGGCAAAGGCCUACUCCUCACACUGACUUCACAUCAUCUGCAGUGCCCGAGGAGCUACAAAACCUUAUCCACCCAAUCCUUGGCACUCAGAAAGAGCCGGGCCUAAUUAACAUAAAUAAAUGGAAAAUCCAACUGAUAAGCUGGGGAGUUUACUUACUUUAUUAUGACAAUUAUUUGUUUGUUGUUACGCUUGUGUGUGUGUCUGUGUGAGCGCAUGUGUGUGUGUUUGUACUAUGAGUGCAUGUGGUUGUACUUGCAGGUGCCAGGGUGUGUGUGUAGGUCAGAGAAUAAUUCAAUUAGUCAAACAAUUGAUCAGUUAAUCGAUGUAAUAAACUUUAUUUGUUUUUCUUAUUAAACAAAAGGCACAGUUUACUCAUUCCCAAUAUCUCAUCAUUACAUGAAAGAGCCUUUAUCUUUUACAUGAUAGUGUAAGACUCAUUUGCU
This 1148-nucleotide long non-coding RNA is filed under the name Mus musculus (house mouse). Its description in RNAcentral is "long non-coding RNA chr12:56629424-56630572". Lineage: Eukaryota; Metazoa; Chordata; Mammalia; Rodentia; Muridae. The record is from RNAcentral.